ACGUGGUGCCUUGAAUGCAUCUCCAACCUCCCCACCUUUCUCAUUCAUAUAUACAUCUUUCUCCUAAUAACAUCCCAUCAACCCUCUAUCUCCUUUCCGUAUGUUAUAACAACAUUUUAUAUAUUCUUCUUCUGAGUCCGGUUUUUUCUUUCUCUCAAGACCAUUAUACCAGAUCCAGUAAUUGAAGAGAGUAUGAGCAGCCAGAUGUCGUCGAAGCCGAACGUGGAUGGAGUGCACUGCGAUGUGAAGGUGGUGGAGAGACCAAUGAGAGAAAUUAGGCCCUACGAUCUGUUGCUGCGGUUUCUUGGCCUCUCACUCACUCUUGUAGCAACCAUCAUUGUUGGUGUUGACAAUGAGACCAAAGUCAUCUCCUAUGCCGAAAUGCAGUUCAAAGCCACUGCUAAGUGGGAAUAUGUCUCUGCUAUUGUGUUUUUCUUGGUGAUAAACGCGAUAGCAUGCUCAUACGCAGCUGCAUCAUUGGUUAUCACAUUGAUGGGAGAAGCAGUGGAAGAAAAAAUAACGAUGUGACGCUUUUGGGGCUAACAGCGCUAGAUCUUGUGAUGAUGGCUUUGUUGUUCUCAGCCAAUGGUGCAGCCUGUGCAGUGGGAGUGAUAGCACAGAAGGGCAACUCGCACGUGCAAUGGAUGAAAGUGUGCAACGUCUUUGACGCCUAUUGUCGCCACGUCACUGCUGCAUUGGUCCUCUCCCUCUUCGGCUCCACCGUCUUUCUCUUGCUCGUGCUCCUUUCUGUUCUCAAACUCCAUUACAGAACAAGAAGCUAGAUCUCAAUAUGAUACACACUAUAAUAUAUAUAUUUGUAGUGUUAAUUAAUUAAUUAAGGGUGUGAAUCGUAUUUUUGGCUUAGACCUAGCUUGCACUUAUUGUUGUGUUUGAUGAAGAACGCCAAAGCACUUAAAGAUAUAGAUAUGCCCCAAGUAGUGAUUAAAUUGAAUGUGGUUCGUUUGUAGUAAAUAUACUUUAGCAGAUGGUAGGUCGAUUUAUUUAAGAGAGCAGUAACAGUAAAUUAAUAUA
Molecule: RNA transcript, 1032 nt
Organism: Glycine soja
Lineage: Eukaryota; Viridiplantae; Streptophyta; Magnoliopsida; Fabales; Fabaceae
Gene name: CASP-like protein 1E1
Exons: 2
Source: RefSeq, a predicted model, not a curated record